Molecule: ribosomal RNA, 492 nt
Filed under: uncultured bacterium
Lineage: Bacteria
Description: partial 16S ribosomal RNA
Rfam family: Bacterial small subunit ribosomal RNA
Source: RNAcentral
AGUGAACGCUGGCGGUAGGCCUAACACAUGCAAGUCGAACGGCAGCACAGUAAGAGCUUGCUCUUACGGGUGGCGAGUGGCGGACGGGUGAGGAAUACAUCGGAAUCUACUUUUUCGUGGGGGAUAACGUAGGGAAACUUACGCUAAUACCGCAUACGACCUACGGGUGAAAGCAGGGGAUCUUCGGACCUUGCGCGAUUGAAUGAGCCGAUGUCGGAUUAGCUAGUUGGCGGGGUAAAGGCCCACCAAGGCGACGAUCCGUAGCUGGUCUGAGAGGAUGAUCAGCCACACUGGAACUGAGACACGGUCCAGACUCAUACGGGAGGCAGCAGUGGGGAAUAUUGGACAAUGGGCGCAAGACUGAUCCAGCCAUACCGCGUGGGUGAAGAAGGCCUUCGGGUUGUAAAGCCCUUUUGUUGGGAAAGAAAAGCAGCAGGUUAAUACCCCGCUGUUCUGACGGUACCAAAAGAAUAAGCACCGGCUAACUUCGUG